GGCGUUUUGGUAGAUUGGUUAUACAUCGGAUUGCAAAUCCGUGGAGAGCGGUUCGAUUCCGCUAAACGCCUCCA
Molecule: transfer RNA, 74 nt
Filed under: Vibrio parahaemolyticus
Lineage: Bacteria; Pseudomonadati; Pseudomonadota; Gammaproteobacteria; Vibrionales; Vibrionaceae
Also listed under: 1 other name
Description: tRNA-Cys
Rfam family: tRNA
About the family: Transfer RNA (tRNA) molecules are approximately 80 nucleotides in length. Their secondary structure includes four short double-helical elements and three loops (D, anti-codon, and T loops).
Source: RNAcentral